ACAAUAAGGACAUCUGAAAUUCUAUCUCAAUUUAUAUUCCAUGGUCAAGGAGAACUGAAAUGCCACCUACUGAGUGAUAACAAUGAACAUUUUGCUCUCGAAUGCAUUUUUAGUCAUCAGAAACAAUUCAAUUAUUUGACGUUCUGGAAAGCAAAUCAUAUUAGUAUGCUUUAGUUAAUGUUUUGGUUUUUUUUUGGUUUUUUUAUGCUCGGUCUUGUCGUUGCUCUCUGAUUACAGUUUACAUGUUUUCUUCUUUUAUGGAAUAUUCUUUACACUGUAUUUUAGCUCAUGUUCUUUUCUUAACCAAUGUAAUCCGAUUUUCUUUGAUAUCUGUUAAAGGCAAAAGGUUUACAUCAUAAAUAUGCUGGUACUUAAAAUUUUCUCUGCUGCACCAUGGGAUGUGUCCUCCCUUAAAGUUGCUU
Molecule: non-coding RNA, 422 nt
Organism: Pelobates cultripes (western spadefoot toad)
Lineage: Eukaryota; Metazoa; Chordata; Amphibia; Anura; Pelobatidae
Source: the annotation of a GenBank genome assembly